CUAGACAGUUUUUCAUGGAGCUGCACAACGCUAAGUACCUGGAAAAAAAAGACAUGCCAAAAAGAUGAAGUUAUCAGAGUGAAAGAAUGCACAGUAAGGAAACAGAGUAAAUGGAUCUCUCUGUUGAGGAGGAAAGAAGCCCUGCUCGAGAAAUUGCCAACUGGUUGGUUAUUCUUUGCUGGCCUUCACUCAGCUUCAGAAAAGACUUGGUUUUAUAAGGAUUCAGCUGUCACUGCAAAAUACACAGUGCUGCUCUGUGCAUCCAACCUGACAGAAAACUAUCUCCAAGCAAAAUCAGCAAGUCCUCCUGUCACAAAAAAAAUGAAGUGA
This 330-nucleotide long non-coding RNA is filed under the name Dromaius novaehollandiae (emu). RNAcentral describes it as "lncRNA (ENSDNVG00000004780.1)". The record is from RNAcentral. Lineage: Eukaryota; Metazoa; Chordata; Aves; Casuariiformes; Dromaiidae.